AUUGAACGCUGGCGGCAGGCCUAACACAUGCAAGUCGAACGGUAGCACAGAGAGCUUGCUCUCGGGUGACGAGUGGCGGACGGGUGAGUAAUGUCUGGGAAACUGCCCGAUGGAGGGGGAUAACUACUGGAAACGGUAGCUAAUACCGCAUAACGUCUUCGGACCAAAGUGGGGGACCUUCGGGCCUCACACCAUCGGAUGUGCCCAGAUGGGAUUAGCUAGUAGGUGGGGUAAUGGCUCACCUAGGCGACGAUCCCUAGCUGGUCUGAGAGGAUGACCAGCCACACUGGAACUGAGACACGGUCCAGACUCCUACGGGAGGCAGCAGUGGGGAAUAUUGCACAAUGGGCGCAAGCCUGAUGCAGCCAUGCCGCGUGUAUGAAGAAGGCCUUCGGGUUGUAAAGUACUUUCAGCGGGGAGGAAGGCGAUGGAGUUAAUAGCUUCAUCGAUUGACGUUACCCGCAGAAGAAGCACCGGCUAACUCCGUGCCAGCCGCCGCUGUAA
This 504-nucleotide ribosomal RNA is filed under the name uncultured bacterium. RNAcentral's name for it is "partial 16S ribosomal RNA". It matches the Rfam family "Bacterial small subunit ribosomal RNA", at positions 30 to 523 of the family's 1533-position model. The record is from RNAcentral.